This is a non-coding RNA of Biomphalaria pfeifferi, 990 nucleotides long. Lineage: Eukaryota; Metazoa; Mollusca; Gastropoda; Planorbidae. The record is from the annotation of a GenBank genome assembly.
AAUAUACUUUUCUUUUUGCUCAGUGACUAAUAAACUGGCAACAUUUGUUUCCAAGAUGUGUUGCAUUAUAUGUACCUAACACAAAAACUUAAUUCUGUGAUCAAAACAAAAAAAUGUCUUUAAAAAAAGUGUUUCAUUCAAAACUGGCAAUGAAAAUAACUUUUUGCAUGAGAUGUUUGAAAUGUAAUAAAUAGUAGAAAACUGACAACUUUUCAAACUAGAUAAUUGGAAGCACAUCUACAUUGUAACAAUUGUUGAAUCAUUUGUGUUCUCUCUUCCCACACUGAAACAUCACAUGCCUUUCUCUCCCCUCCCUCUUCUGUUGCCAUAUAAAACAAAAGCAUUUAAAUCAUCUGAGAUUGACUCAUCAUUUAUCAUGCCUCUUCAUGGUCCACAAGUUUAGUGCUUGUAAACUGGGAGAAUUAGAGGAAAACACUACUACAUGCAAUAUUCUGGCAUAUUUGAUUGAUUGAAAAAAAACAGGACAUUGGCUGCACCCUACACCAUGAUUUAUUCUAGUAUUAUUGAGUCUGUCUAUUUAACGACAAAACUCGUACAGAGACCAGGUAAAUACUGUGAACAUUGCUACUAGUGAUUAUUGUUUUUUCCUCUUGGAUUUUAAACAAGUCUCAGGUCAAAUGUGAGCUUGGAAUGAAUGCUUUUUUAUAAUUUUGUUUGGUGUCAAGAUGUACACAAGUUUAGAAGCCAUAUUGCUAAAUAUAGAAAUCUGUACUACCAGUAUUGGGAUAAAAAUUAUUUUGUUUCAAUACAAUGACUGCCUGAGCAUAACAGUUUGUUUAUUGUGUCAGCCAAUACAAUACAUGUAUAUUUUGAUUGUUAUAAAUUUGUGUAUGGUUCUAACUUGAUUUUUAUAUAUUAUAUAUAUAUAUAUUUGUAGCUUUUUAAUAUUUUUUUCUUCUGUGGUUUUAAAAUAGUUGUGACCUUUGACACAAAAUGUUUGACUAAUGAAUACAAUGUUUGACUAAGUCA